CUCAAAUAUUGGAAAGGUUGUCAUAUUGAAAAUGGAACAAGCUUGCUUUCUUUUGCUGCAGAGACUACGGUGUUUCCCUGAAAAUAAAACAGUGUCUUAUAUUAAUUUUUGCUCCCAAAGAUGCGCUAGGUCUUGCUUUCAGGGGAUGUCUUAUUUUUCCAUGAAGAAGAAUUCACAUUUAUUGUUGAACAAAAAACUGAACAUUUAUUAUAUACUGUACAGUAGUUGUCAUCACAAACCAGCAUAACCAGACAAACUGUGAAUCCUAUCAAGAAUUUCUUGUUACUACCAUUAUUUCCAUGUACAACACUCUAUGGUACAUACAUUUACCGAUCCUGCAUGUUCUGGUGUUCUGUUCGUUGGGCAUGCUUCCAAACAAAAACUUUGCUAGGUCUUACUUUCGGGGGAGGCCUUAUAUUUAGCAAUUCAGCAAAACCUCUACUAGGUCUUAUUUUCUGGGAACGUCUUAUUUUAGGGGAAACAGGGUAGGAUGCAACGGAGGACUGGAUUCAAACUCCAGGAACAGAGAUUCCACCUAAGUGUUGUCGAAGGCUUUCAUGGCUGGGAUCACCCAGUUGUGGUAUGUUUUCCGGGCUGUAUGGCCAUGUUCCAGAAGCAUUCUCUCCUGACGUUUCACCCACAUCUAUGGCAGGCAUCCUCAGAGGUUGUGAGGUAUAUGAAGAAACUAAGCAAGGAAGGUUUAUAUAUAUCUGUGGAAAGUCCAGGGUGGGAGAAGAACUCUUGUCCGUUGGAGGCCAGUGUGAAUGUUGUAGUUAAUCACCUUAAUUAGCACUGAAUAGCUUCAUCUCCUGGCUUCUUCCUGCCAGGGGGCAUUUAUUUAUUUAUUUAUUUGUUUAUUUCCAAUAUUUCUACCCUGCCCUUCUCUCUGAGGGGACUCAGGGCGGCUUACACAACUGGUAGGAUCACUACCAGUACAUCAUAAUACAAUAAAAUAAGAAUAAAACAGUUAAAAUAAUUAAAUAACAUAGUAAAAUACAAUAUAUAAAAGAUUUAACACAAUGCAACACCAAAUAUAUAUGCCAAUCAUCCAUCAGACCUUGUGCAAAAGCCUUAAUCCAAUCCAUGUCAAUGCUGACUGAGUUCAUUCAUUAAACGCUUGCGCGCAUAGCCAGGUCUUCAACUUCUGGGGAAUCCUUUGUUCAGAGUCAUUAGCUGCCCCUGAUUGAUUCGUGUCUGGAACUCCUCUGUUUUCAGAGUGUGCUUCUUAUUGACUGUUCUGAUUUUGGAGUUUUUUAAAUACUGGUGGCCAGAUUUUGUUCAUUUUCAUGGUUUCCUCCUUUCUGUUGAAGUUGUCCACAUGCUUGUGGAUUUCAGUGGCUUCUCUGUGUAGUCUGACAUGAUAGUUGUUGGAGGGGUUGAGCAUUUAUGUGUUCUCAAAUAAUAUACUGUGUCCAGGGGCAGCUAACGACUCUGAACAAAGGAUUCCCCAGGCCAGGACGUGAAGCUUGCAAGGCCAUUUAAUGCUAAUCAAGGUGAUUAAUUACAACAUUCACAUAGGCCUCCAACAGAGAAAGAGUUCUUCUCCCACCCAGGAUAUAUAAACCCAUUCACCUAGUUUCCAACAGACCUCAUAACCUCAGAGGAUGCCUGCCAUAGAUGUGGGCGAAACGUCAGGAGAGAAUGCUUCUGGAACAUGGCCAUACAGCCCGAAAAACACAUAACAACCCACAAAUGGAAAAAAUUUCCAACAUAUUUGUACAAAAGGUUUAAGAAUUUGAAAGCUGUCAGCCAGGCAAUUCAUACUGGAAUAACCCACCCAUAAUCUUAUGGAAUAAUAUGUUAUUGGCUGGCUUCUCUGUUGAGAUGCAAUGAGUUUAUUUUCAUGAAAAUGGAUGCUGGAAUAAUCUUUCUUUUGCAAGGAUUUAUUGGUGGCUCCGUCUGAAACAAGCCAUUAAGAUCUGUUUUCUGGGUUGUUGUGAGUGUUCCGGGCUGUGGGUUGUUGUGAGUUUUCCAGGCUGCCUGGCCAUGUUUCAGAAGCAUUCUCUCCUGACGUUUCGCCCACAUCUAUGGCAGGCAUCCCCAUAGUAUGAAUAGUAAUAUUGGAUUGUUGUGUGUUUUCAGGGUUGCAUGGCCAUGUUCCAGAAGCAUUCUCUCCUGACAUUUCGCCCAUAUCUAUGGCAGGCAUCCUCAGAGGUUGAGAGGUCUGUUGGAAAGCUCCAUCUGCUUUGAAGGCACACUGUAAACAAGAUGCUCCCUCUCCUUUAAAGGCGCACCGUAAACAAGAUGUCAACAUUCCUCUAUUUCUGUCCUCACAUCAGCUGGUGGAGAUCACCAUUAACUCCCCGACGCCAUUGCGAUUCUGAGUUUUAGGAUGCCAUGGUGCAAUUACAAAGCCUGGUUUUAAAUCCUCCACAGCUGCUUCUUGAGUUAUCCACUGCGGGGGACUGGCAGCUUUUGUUUCCAUUGUGCCGGGGAAUGGCAACUUCACACCAGCCAGUAUUUCAUGGAUGAAAAUGGGGACAUUUGAGGACAAACAACUUCAAAGUGUGGGUGAGAAAGGUAAAAGUUAUGACUGAGGAUGAAUGUACAAGCAAGUGUGAAUGCCCUCCGACUAAGGGGGCAUCUACACUGUAGUAGUAAUGUACUUUGUGUCAGAGCAAUUUGCUAGGCACACACACAGCAGAAGUUGCUGACGAGAAAGCACUAGAUAAAUAAUGAUGCUGGAGUCUUCAGCUCUCUAUCAAAAGUUUACUCACAAACGGAAUUCCACAAGACAAUACACAGCUCUCACGCAGGCACACACGGGAAGGAAAAAAAGAAGGAAAAGAUAGGAAGCAGAGGGCAAUUUAUCCCAGACUCUGCUGUCUGAUGCAAUCCAAGUUUGCAGGCACUUAACCCUUUACACACUGGCAUAGAAAACAGUACACAGUGCAUGAUGCAAUCUCCAGCACACAUUGCACCACUCAAUUACUCUAUAUACAAUCAUUCCUACUUUAACACUUUGAUCCCAGUUUAACUACCAGGGCUCGUUGCUCUAGGAUCCCGGGGUUUGUAGUUUGAUGAGACAUCACCACUACCUCUCACAGGAUGCCAUAGCACUGAGCAAGGGGAAUUAAAGUGGGGCCAAACUGCACUAUUUGUACAGUCUAGAUGGACUCUACUUUUGCACUUUGAACUCAGUUUGCAAAGGGAGAAAGUGGGCCAAGGGCAGCGGAAUUGGGAGAGUUUAAACACAGCUGGAAAAGUGGAUUAAUUGGGCCAGUCCUUUGGCAAAUCGGAACAAUUGCACCAUAUUUGUGCACAUCAGCCAUUGGUUUCAAAGAGAUCCGACAGUUAAAUGACGUGUCGGAAUUUAAAAUGCAAUUGGAAACCCAUCUUUUCCAUCAGGCCCACACACUACACUGUCAACUUUCAAUUCUGAGUUUUGAUUUGCAUUCCCACUAUACAGCAAUUCUGUAGCUGUGUUUGGUAUAAGUUUAAGUGUGUGUGUGUGUGUGUAUGUUUAUCUUUGAAAUUUAGUAAUUUAUUGUAUUUUAAUGUAUUGUAUUUAUUGUGGCGCCGCUGAUUAAUAGCCAGCUGCAAUAAAUCACUACUGACUGAGAGGUCAUGAGUUCGAAGCACAAGUCGGAUAGAGUGCCCGACCAUUAAAUAGCCUAGCUUGUGGUUUAUCUAAGCAAUCCAAAAGACAAUUGCCGUGGUGGAGGCUCCUUCUUUGGAGGCUUUUAAGCAGAGGCUGGAUGGCCAUCUGUCGGGGGUGCUUUGAAUGCGAUUUCCUGCUUCUUAGCAGGGGGUUGGACUGGAUGGCCCAUGUGGUCUCUUCCAACUCUACUAUUCUAUGAUUCUAUGAUUCUAUGAAUUGCAUCUAUCAAGCAGGAAAAUUUAGGGACUGCUUAUGCGGGGAGCCGUGCGUGCGGAAGAAUGAGGAAGUACUCCAUCAAACGACUCGACGUCACAGUGGAUGAUGAAGCAGCAGCUCCCCCUGUGGCUGGAGUCAAGCAUACCCUCAGGAAGCCAGAAGCUGGAAAAUGUUAAAUAGUCUCUGUGUCUUUAUGUAUGUCGUAUGUCUAAUGGCAUUGAAUGUUUGCCAUGUAUAUGUAUAUUGUGAUUCGCCUGAGUCGCCUUCGGGAUGAGAAAGGGUGGAAUAUAAAUACUGUAAGUAAAUAAAUAAAAUAAAUUGGACGGAUAAUGGCUUUGGUUUAUGUUUAUUUAUUUUUAACUAUCUAAAGUGUUGACUGUAUUUUAAUACAUGUACCUUGUAUGUUUUAUACUUUGUUGUUAGCCGCUUUAAAUCCCCAAUGAGGGUGAAAAGUGGGAUAUAAAUAAAUAAAUAAUAAUAAUAAUAAUAUAA
Long non-coding RNA from Anolis carolinensis (green anole), 4309 nucleotides. RefSeq lists it as uncharacterized. The record is from RefSeq and is a predicted model, not a curated record. Lineage: Eukaryota; Metazoa; Chordata; Lepidosauria; Squamata; Anolidae. The transcript has 2 exons.